Molecule: ribosomal RNA, 510 nt
Filed under: uncultured Acaulospora
Lineage: Eukaryota; Fungi; Glomeromycota; Glomeromycetes; Diversisporales; Acaulosporaceae
Description: SSU rRNA
Rfam family: Eukaryotic small subunit ribosomal RNA
Source: RNAcentral
AGCAGCCGCGGUAAUUCCAGCUCCAAUAGCGUAUAUUAAAGUUGUUGCAGUUAAAAAGCUCGUAGUUGAAUUUCGGAAUUUGUCGGUUGGUCGGGCUUCAUUGUCCGCACUGGCCUGAUGGAUUCCUACCUUCUGAAUAACCAGCAUGCUAUUAAUUUAGUGCGUUGGGGAAGCAGAGCUAUUACCUUGAAAAAAUUAGAGUGCUUAAAGCAGGCUCACGCUUGAAUAGAUUAGCGUGGAAUAAUAAAAUAGGACGGCUUGGUUCUAUUUUGUUGGUUUCUAGGAUCACCGUAAUGAUUAAUAGGGAUAGUUGGGGGCAUUAGUAUUCAAUUGUCAGAGGUGAAAUUCUUGGAUUUAUUGAAGACUAACUUCUGCGAAAGCAUUUGCCAAGGAUGUUUUCAUUAAUCAAGAACGAAAGUUAGGGGAUCGAAGACGAUCAGAUACCGUCGUAGUCUUAACCAUAAACUAUGCCGACUAGGGAUCGGACGAUGUUAAUUUUUUAAUGACUCG